Molecule: long non-coding RNA, 1267 nt
Organism: Poecilia latipinna (sailfin molly)
Lineage: Eukaryota; Metazoa; Chordata; Actinopteri; Cyprinodontiformes; Poeciliidae
Exons: 2
Source: RefSeq, a predicted model, not a curated record
GCUGAAAAGAUUUUACUACCACCAGGGAGAGAACUAAAACAGGCAGCAUGCCGGCCCUCCAGGACCCACUUUGGGCUCCCCUGGUCUAUGCAAUAGAAAACCCUGGACAGAGACAAAACCUGAUUUCGACUGGGUUUUAAUUGAGCAAGAAUUUACCUCCCCAUUUACCGUUGUUGAGGUACUAACCCAAUGGGAAUAGGCUGAAUAACCCAGUUUUCUUGUUCUCAAAGAAGACGUGGCAAGAGGUACACAAGAAAUGUAAUAUAUCCCCAUAUUUCCAAAAAUCUAAUUUUUUGUCAGGGGGCCCAAGAUUCCUGGCAGCGCCCCUGCCUCUACCUAUCAAAUUAUGGGCAAGAAUAUUUUUAUUCACAAACCAAAUACGCCAAAUAAUACCUAUGUUUUUUUGUGAAUAAAAACAUAGGUCUGAUGUUGACGUUAGAAAAACUGUUUCUAUUUAUAUUUUCGUAAUUGUCCUCACAAUAGCGGGAAAAAAUCCGCCUUGCUCCUAAACACAGAAAUGCUUCAGCUGUGAGAAAACUUCUGACUUUAACUUCAUCAGGCUGCUAAAAGCCCGGUUCGCUACAGGCGGUCCGAGUCGGUCCCACCGGCAGAUAGAAAGAAUGUCUUUAUAUCAGACAUCCUGAUAUAACACAUGAUACUGCAACUGCAACCGCGAGUUGCGAUGCACCUCAAAGCCCCGGUACCACCACCCGGUACACCUGCUCUCUGUUCGCUCUGUUUCUCCUUAACGUUUCUACCAGGCUGCUGACACGAUCUGGGCUGGAGGUGAGCAGCUGUAAAUAGAAGUUAUUGCAGAACCUCAAGUGUUUAAGGAAGAUUCGGCCCAUAGCAACUGGAGUUCACAAAACAAACAUCAGCAAAAAUACUGUAGCAAUAACUAAAACCGCAGCACAAAGCCAAACAUGCCACAAUCAAAUGAAUCAAAAUGUCCCCAAAGCAUCGGCGGACUGGCAAGGGGCCACCGGAGGAUUCCAGGUAGAUUCCAGGUAGAUUCCAGGUAGAUUCAGAGAUGCCCAUCGCAGCGACUGUUCAUGCAGGGCCGGACCAAGGUAAUAUGGGGCCUUAGACAGAACUCCCCUCUCCUCAAAACCCCUCCUACUAAGAACCUCAGCAUCACUAACAUGUUUAAAUACAGAUAAGGUGAAGUCUGUGAAAGGGAGACCAGGUUUAUUGGCCGAGUUUAAAAUCAGUCACUGAUUAUUGGUUAUUUGCUGUGAUGUAUUUGUGAACAAACCAGCUCAAACAC